GGGUCGUUAGCUCAAUGGCAGAGCACUCGGCUCAUAACCGAAGCGUUGCAGGUUCGAAUCCUGCACGACCCACCA
Molecule: transfer RNA, 75 nt
Filed under: Chloroflexaceae bacterium
Lineage: Bacteria; Bacillati; Chloroflexota; Chloroflexia; Chloroflexales; Chloroflexaceae
Also listed under: 1 other name
Description: tRNA-Ile
Rfam family: tRNA
About the family: Transfer RNA (tRNA) molecules are approximately 80 nucleotides in length.
Source: RNAcentral